RNAcentral lists this transfer RNA (69 nucleotides) under Anolis princeps. RNAcentral's name for it is "tRNA-Tyr". Lineage: Eukaryota; Metazoa; Chordata; Lepidosauria; Squamata; Anolidae. The record is from RNAcentral.
AGUAAAGAGAGGAGUCGAACCCCUUUUAGUAGGACUACAGCCUACCACCUAACAGUCGGCCACUUUACU